AUUGAACGCUGGCGGCAUGCUUUACACAUGUAAGUCGAACGAGUGGCGAACGGGUGAGUAAUAUAUCGGAACGUACCGAGUAAUGGGGGAUAACUAAUCGAAAGAUUAGCUAAUACCGCCUAUUAUUCGAGCGGCCGAUAUUUGAUUAGCUAGUUGGUGGGGUAAAGGCCUACCAAGGCGACGAUCAGUAGCGGGGCGGAGAGGAUGAUCCGCACACCUGGGAUGGAGACACGGCCCAGACUCCUACGGGAGGCAGCACUGGGGAAUUUUGGACAAUGGGAGGAAGCCUGACCCAGCCAUGCCGCGUGUCUGAAGAAGGCUUUCGGGUUGUAAAGGACUUUUGUCAUGGAAGCGGUAUCUGAAGAAUAAGCACCGGCUAACUACGUGCCAGCAGCCGCGGUAAUUC
Molecule: ribosomal RNA, 406 nt
Filed under: uncultured bacterium
Lineage: Bacteria
Description: partial 16S ribosomal RNA
Rfam family: Bacterial small subunit ribosomal RNA
Source: RNAcentral